UCAGGAAUAUUGGACAAUGGGCGCAAGCCUGAUCCAGCCAUGCCGCGUGAAGGAUUAAGGUCCUCUGGAUUGUAAACUUCUUUUAUAAGGGACGAAAAAAGGGAAUUCUUUCUCACUUGACGGUACCUUAUGAAUAAGCACCGGCUAACUCCGUGCCAGCAGCCGCGGUAAUACGGAGGGUGCAAGCGUUAUCCGGAUUCACUGGGUUUAAAGGGUGCGUAGGCGGGUAUUUAAGUCAGUGGUGAAAUCCUAGAGCUUAACUCUAGAACUGCCAUUGAUACUAUUUAUCUUGAAUAUUGUGGAGGUAAGCGGAAUAUGUCAUGUAGCGGUGAAAUGCUUAGAUAUGACAUAGAACACCUAUUGCGAAGGCAGCUUACUACGCAUAUAUUGACGCUGAGGCACGAAAGCGUGGGGAUCAAACAGG
This 424-nucleotide ribosomal RNA is filed under the name Acidobacteriota bacterium. RNAcentral describes it as "Acidobacteria bacterium partial 16S ribosomal RNA". It matches the Rfam family "Bacterial small subunit ribosomal RNA", at positions 355 to 776 of the family's 1533-position model. The record is from RNAcentral. Lineage: Bacteria; Pseudomonadati; Acidobacteriota.